CCGAGUUAUACAACUCAUCAACCCUGUGAACAUACCUAAAACGUUGCUUCGGCGGGAACAGACGGCCCUGUAACAACGGGCCGCCCCCGCCAGAGGACCCCUAACUCUGUUUUUAUAAUGUUUUUCUGAGUAAACCAGCAAAUAAAUUA
RNAcentral lists this unclassified non-coding RNA (149 nucleotides) under soil metagenome. Its description in RNAcentral is "partial internal transcribed spacer 1". The record is from RNAcentral.